RNAcentral lists this long non-coding RNA (221 nucleotides) under Marmota monax (woodchuck). Lineage: Eukaryota; Metazoa; Chordata; Mammalia; Rodentia; Sciuridae. The record is from RNAcentral.
CUCUAAACAGGUUAGGUUAUUGUUAGGUCUAGUGUUAGAGUUAGAGUUUGUCUUGUUCAAAUUUCUUUGAUACUGGGAAGGAUACAUUUUUACCUAGCCUUACUAUGUUCCCCAGGUUUCGGCCUUCUCGGUUCAAUUCUUUGCUGCCAGGAACAAUUUGUAUUUUAUGGAUUCACUUCAUUUUGAUGUACAUGGGUAAAUGGACAUGGAGCUGGAAAUUA